ACUCAUCUUAAAGAAAGCAUGGAGGACUACUGCAUAUACUGCAACCUUGUCAGUUGUGAAAAGGAAAGUGAGGAUUGCACGAUGGUCCAGUGUGAUUCUUCCAAGAGGUGGGCACAUAUGCUCUGCAUUCCAGAAGGAACCAAUCA
Long non-coding RNA from Chelonia mydas (Green sea turtle), 146 nucleotides. RefSeq lists it as uncharacterized. The transcript has 3 exons. Lineage: Eukaryota; Metazoa; Chordata; Testudines; Cheloniidae. The record is from RefSeq and is a predicted model, not a curated record.